RNAcentral lists this ribosomal RNA (251 nucleotides) under uncultured bacterium. Its description in RNAcentral is "partial 16S ribosomal RNA". It matches the Rfam family "Bacterial small subunit ribosomal RNA", at positions 333 to 598 of the family's 1533-position model. The record is from RNAcentral.
CUCCUCCUACGGGACGCAGCAGUGGGGAAUAUUGCACAAUGGGCGAAAGCCUGAUGCAGCAACGCCGCGUGAAGGAAGAAGGGUUUCGGCUCGUAAACUUCUAUCAACAGGGACGACAGAAAUGACGGUACCUGAAUAAGAAGCCCCGGCUAACUACGUGCCAGCAGCCGCGGUAAUACGUAGGGGGCAAGCGUUAUCCGGAUUUCCUGGGUGUAAAGGGGGCGCAGACGGCAAUGCAAGCCAGGAGUGAA